AGGCUGAGGCCGAACCUGAGCCUCAUUAUGGAGGUUAUGGCUAUGGCCUUUCCUACCCUUAUGGCAUUGGUCUCUAUCGUCCGUUUGGCUAUGGUUUUUACAGACCUUUCGGUUAUGGAUAUUAUGGCUGAAUCUCUUCCAGAUUAUAAUCAGUAUGGAGUUUAAAAUAUAGACAUGCAUUAAGAAA
Molecule: long non-coding RNA, 187 nt
Filed under: Penaeus japonicus
Lineage: Eukaryota; Metazoa; Arthropoda; Malacostraca; Decapoda; Penaeidae
Description: uncharacterized LOC122259577
Source: RNAcentral